CCAAAGGCUCUUUUCAGAGCCCCCACCCUCUCAGGGAAGAGCUG
This is a non-coding RNA of Oryctolagus cuniculus (rabbit), 44 nucleotides long. The record is from Rfam. NCBI's taxonomy places the organism in Eukaryota, Metazoa, Chordata, Mammalia, Lagomorpha, Leporidae.